Molecule: ribosomal RNA, 254 nt
Filed under: uncultured bacterium
Lineage: Bacteria
Description: partial 16S ribosomal RNA
Rfam family: Bacterial small subunit ribosomal RNA
Source: RNAcentral
UACGUAGGGUGCGAGCGUUAAUCGGAAUUACUGGGCGUAAAGUGUGCGCAGGCGGCGUUGCAAGUCGGUUGGUGAAAGCCCGGGGCUCAACCCCGGAGGUGCGGCCGAGACUGCAGGGCUGGAGGCCGGAAGAGGAGGGUGGAAUACCCAGUGUAGAGGUGAAAUUCGUAGAUAUUCGCAAGAACACCAGUGGCGAAGGCGGCUCACUGGCCCGAUACUGACGCUGAGGCACGAAAGCGUGGGGAGCAAACAGG